Molecule: ribosomal RNA, 533 nt
Filed under: uncultured bacterium
Lineage: Bacteria
Description: bacterial SSU rRNA
Rfam family: Bacterial small subunit ribosomal RNA
Source: RNAcentral
AGAGGUCGAUCCUGGUUCAGAGUGAACCCUGGGGGUAGGCCUAACACAUGCAAGUCGAACGGCAGCACAGUAAGAGCUUGCUCUUACCGGUGGCGAGUGGCGGAAGGGUGAGGAAUACAUCGGAAUCUACUUUUUGGUGGGGGAUAACGUACGGAAACUUACGCUAAUACCGCAUACGACCUACCGGUGAAAGCAGGGGAUCUUCGGACCUUGCGCGAUUGAAUGACCCCAUGUCGGAUUAGCUAGUUGGCGGGGUAAAGGACCACCAAGGCGACGAUCCGUAGCUGGUCUGAGAGGAUGAUCAGCCACACUGGAACUGAUACCCGGUCCCGACUCCUACGGGAGGCCGCAGUGGGGAAUAUUGGACAACGGGCGCAAGCCUGAUCCGCCUUACCGUGUGGGUGAAGAAGGCCUUCCGGUUGUAAAGCCCUUUUGUUGGGAAAGAAAUCCACCUGGUUAAUACCCGGUUGGGAUGACGGUACCCAAAGUAUAACCUCCGGCUAAUUUCGUGCCAGCAGCCGCGGUAAUACCAA